AAACUGCGGUCCACAGUGCAACUCACCAUCAAUUUUCUUCUCGCCUUCUCAAACGUAAAACUCAGAGGUCAACUCACAACUCGUAUCUUUCUUCAUGUAACUCAUCCAAUCAUCCAUCCCUCUAGUCAGAGACUGACCUUCUUCUUGAUACUUGGCCCCUCUCAACCCCUUGCCUUCCCUUCUUCUUCUUCUUCUUCUCAGUUCUCACUCUCUCUUCGUCUUUGUCCUUCAUCUUCCUUUGCCUUAAAUCUUCAAAAUAACCCACAUACAGAUCCACACGAAUGUGCAUAGCCGCAAAGAGCCACAACGGAAG
RNAcentral lists this long non-coding RNA (313 nucleotides) under Manihot esculenta (cassava). RNAcentral's name for it is "long non-coding RNA (MESC_LNC000445)". Lineage: Eukaryota; Viridiplantae; Streptophyta; Magnoliopsida; Malpighiales; Euphorbiaceae. The record is from RNAcentral.